UGGUAGUGUAUUGGACAACCAUGGUGGUGACGAGUGAUGGAGAAUUAGGUUUUUAUUCUGGAGAGGGAGCCUGAGAAACGACAACCAUAUCCAAGGAAGGCAGCAGGCACACAAAUUACCCAAUCCUGACAUGGGGAGGUAGUGACAAUAAAUAACAAUUCUGGGCUCAUUAAGUUUUGUAAUUGGAAUGAGUACAAUUUAAAUCCAUUAACGGGGAUCCAUUGGAGGGCAAGUUUGGUGCCCACAACUCCGGUAAUUCCUGCUCCAAUAGGGUAUAUUUAAGUUGUUGCAGUUAAAAAGGUUGUAGUUGGAUCUUGGGUCAUAAAGGUUGAUCCACCCACUCGGUGUGCACAUGCCCUUCCAUCCCUUUUUUUGAUGGCAUGCUCAUAGCCUUAAUUGGGUGGGUCAGGGAUCCAAUGAUGUUACUUUGAAAAAAUCAGAGUUUUCAAAGCAAGCUUAUGCUCUGAAUCCAUAAGCAUGGAAUAUAGUAAUAGGAGUUUGGUCCUAUUGUGUUGGCUUCAGGACUACAGUAAUGAUUAAUAGGGACUAUAGGGGCAUCAGUAUUUCAUUGUCAGAG
RNAcentral lists this ribosomal RNA (577 nucleotides) under Pinus nigra (Austrian pine). RNAcentral's name for it is "SSU rRNA". It matches the Rfam family "Eukaryotic small subunit ribosomal RNA", at positions 326 to 910 of the family's 1831-position model. Lineage: Eukaryota; Viridiplantae; Streptophyta; Pinopsida; Pinales; Pinaceae. The record is from RNAcentral.